UACAGAGGUCUCAAGCGUUGUUCGGAUUCAUUGGGCGUAAAGGGUGUGUAGGUGGCGCGCUAAGUCACUUGUGAAAUCUCCGGGCUUAACUCGGAAAGGUCAAGUGAUACUGUCGGACUAGAGUACAGAAGGGGCAACUGGAAUUCUCGGUGUAGCGGUGAAAUGCGUAGAUAUCGAGAGGAACACCUGCGGCGAAGGCGGGUUGCUGGGCUGAUACUGACGCUGAGGCGCGAAAGCUAGGGGAGCGAACGGG
This 253-nucleotide ribosomal RNA is filed under the name uncultured bacterium. Its description in RNAcentral is "partial 16S ribosomal RNA". It matches the Rfam family "Bacterial small subunit ribosomal RNA", at positions 524 to 776 of the family's 1533-position model. The record is from RNAcentral.